UACGUAGGGUGCAAGCGUUGUCCGGAAUUAUUGGGCGUAAAGAGCUCGUAGGCGGUUUGUCGCGUCUGCUGUGAAAGCCCGAGGCUCAACCUCGGGCCUGCAGUGGGUACGGGCAGACUAGAGUGCGGUAGGGGAGAUUGGAAUUCCUGGUGUAGCGGUGGAAUGCGCAGAUAUCAGGAGGAACACCAAUGGCGAAGGCAGAUCUCUGGGCUGUAACUGACGCUGAGGAGCGAAAGCAUGGGGAGCGAACAGG
This 253-nucleotide ribosomal RNA is filed under the name uncultured bacterium. Its description in RNAcentral is "partial 16S ribosomal RNA". It matches the Rfam family "Bacterial small subunit ribosomal RNA", at positions 524 to 776 of the family's 1533-position model. The record is from RNAcentral.